AUAUUUUGUUAUUUAGAUUUAUUGCUAGUUCCAUGUUUUGACGCAGUUUUGCAGUACAAUUCCCUUAUUUUUUUUGAUCAUAUCUACACUUCAUCUUUAUCCGG
This 104-nucleotide transfer RNA is filed under the name Goodyera foliosa var. laevis. RNAcentral describes it as "partial tRNA-Lys". Lineage: Eukaryota; Viridiplantae; Streptophyta; Magnoliopsida; Asparagales; Orchidaceae. The record is from RNAcentral.